CGAAAGACUAAGGUUUCCUGGGGCAGGCUCGUCCGCCCAGGGUAAGUCGGGACCUAAGGCAAGGCCGAAAGGCGUAGUCGAUGGACAACAGGUAGAAAUUCCUGUACUGCAUGUCUUCGUUAACAGCGAAGGAGGGACGCAGGAGGCAAAGGACGCAUGGCGCUGGAAGCCAUGUUCAAGCGUUAAGUGUGGUAAUGAGUCAAAUGCUUGUUACUGGUAAGCACAAGGCGUGAUGAGGAGCGAAAUUAAAGUAGCGAAGGUUCAAGCGUCACACUGCCAAGAAAAGCUUCUAGCAAGAAGACAGGCACCCGUACCGCAAACCGACACAGGUAGUCGAGUGGAGAACACUCAGGUGAGCGAGAGAACUCUCGUUAAGGAACUCGGCAAAAUC
Molecule: ribosomal RNA, 391 nt
Filed under: Lactobacillus sp. W8173
Lineage: Bacteria; Bacillati; Bacillota; Bacilli; Lactobacillales; Lactobacillaceae
Also listed under: 2 other names
Description: partial 23S ribosomal RNA
Rfam family: Bacterial large subunit ribosomal RNA
Source: RNAcentral